AUACGGAGGGUGCAAGCGUUGUUCGGAAUCACUGGGCGUAAAGGGCGCGCAGGCGGUUUGGUAAGUCAGAUGUGAAAGCCCACGGCUCAACCGUGGAAGUGCAUUUGAAACUGCCAGACUUGAGUACCAGAGGGGAAAGUGGAAUUCCCGGUGUAGAGGUGAAAUUCGUAGAUAUCGGGAGGAAUACCGGUGGCGAAGGCGACUUUCUGGCUGGAUACUGACGCUGAGGCGCGAAUGCGUGGGGAGCAAACAGGAUUAGAAACCCUGGUAGUCC
This 274-nucleotide ribosomal RNA is filed under the name uncultured bacterium. RNAcentral describes it as "partial 16S ribosomal RNA". It matches the Rfam family "Bacterial small subunit ribosomal RNA", at positions 523 to 796 of the family's 1533-position model. The record is from RNAcentral.